This is a long non-coding RNA of Passer montanus (Eurasian tree sparrow), 452 nucleotides long. RefSeq lists it as uncharacterized. The transcript is spliced from 3 exons. The record is from RefSeq and is a predicted model, not a curated record. NCBI's taxonomy places the organism in Eukaryota, Metazoa, Chordata, Aves, Passeriformes, Passeridae.
CUGCGGGGCUACAGAUUGUUGUUGCUCCUUCUAGAGUAAGACAGUGCCGAUGACCCACCACCAGAAUUUACCCAUUGUUUUCCACUGGGAUCCAGCCUUGCUGAGUUUUUUGGACUUUAUGGUACCCAAGACUGUUGCAGUGCUGCAGUGGGGUGUUGAGCAGCCACAAGAAAACCAAAUCUGAGGGGUGAGAAAAGCCAGGUGUACACAAACCCUAUGGGUGGCAAAGAUACUCAUCCACAAACAUUCCCCAUGGAGCAAGAGGAGAGCCAGCUCUGCCUUUUUAUCAAAACCAGGAAUCAGAAGAAAGGAACCACAACCCACACGAGGUGUUUCCAUAAAAGCUCAGGGUAGACACAUUCAGCAUGGCCUGAAAGAAAAUGAAGAAGUUCUUAAAAUGUUACUGAGCACACUUUAAAAUAUCAUCCUGGGGCAGAAGAAUGAAGUCACUG